This 253-nucleotide ribosomal RNA is filed under the name uncultured bacterium. RNAcentral's name for it is "partial 16S ribosomal RNA". It matches the Rfam family "Bacterial small subunit ribosomal RNA", at positions 524 to 776 of the family's 1533-position model. The record is from RNAcentral.
CACGGGGGGAGCAAGCGUUGUUCGGAAUCACUGGGCGUAAAGGGCGUGUAGGCGGUCAUGUAAGUGGAAUGUGAAAUCCCUCGGCUUACCCGAGGACCUGCAUCCCAAACUGCAUGACUUGAGUACGGGAGAGGAUGAGGGAAUUCCUGGUGUAGCGGUGAAAUGCGUAGAUAUCAGGAGGAACACCGGUGGCGAAGGCGCUCAUCUGGCCCGUUUCUGACGCUGAGGCGCGAAAGCCAGGGGAGCGAACGGG